Molecule: ribosomal RNA, 447 nt
Filed under: uncultured bacterium
Lineage: Bacteria
Description: partial 16S ribosomal RNA
Rfam family: Bacterial small subunit ribosomal RNA
Source: RNAcentral
AGCGAACGCUGGCGGUAGGCUUAACACAUGCAAGUCGAACGGUCCUUCGGGAUAGUGGCGGACGGGUGAGUAACACGUGGGAACGUACCCUUAGGUUCGGAACAACACAGGGAAACUUGUGCUAAUACCGGAUAAGCCCUUCGGGGGAAAGAUUUAUCGCCUUUAGAGCGGCCCGCGUCUGAUUAGCUUGUUGGUGAGGUAAUGGCUCACCAAGGCUACGAUCAGUAGCUGGUCUGAGAGGAUGGCCAGCCACACUGGGACUGAGACACGGCCCAGACUCCUACGGGAGGCAGCAGUGGGGAAUCUUGCGCAAUGGGCGAAAGCUUGACGCAGCCAUGCCGCGUGGAUGAUGAAGGUCUUAGGAUUGUAAAAUCCUUUCACCGGGGACGAUAAUGACGGUACCCGGAGAAGAAGCCCCGGCUAACUUCGUGCCAGCCGCCGCCGUAA